AACCGCUUUGAAAGGAAAAAGAACGUAGAGUUGGCUGUUUCAGCAUUUGCUAUGCUUCACACCCUUGAUAAGCAUGCUCUUGAAAAUCAUAAUCUACUUGAUGCCACUUUGACUAUUGCAGGCAAGUCUGGCUACUGCUGCUGAGUUCUACUGGCAUGUGCCUCUUUAAGAUAGCCUCAUCAGUCAUCAUUACUUCACUUUAUACUGCAUAAAUUCUUGUUUCAGGUGGAUAUGACAAACGACUGAGAGAAAAUGUUGAGUACUUGGAGGAACUUAAAAGCUUAGCUGAAAGGGAAGGUGUGUCUCAUCGAGUUAAGUUUGUCACAUCUUGCUCAACAGCUGAAA
RNAcentral lists this unclassified non-coding RNA (345 nucleotides) under Hevea brasiliensis (rubber tree). Lineage: Eukaryota; Viridiplantae; Streptophyta; Magnoliopsida; Malpighiales; Euphorbiaceae. The record is from RNAcentral.